This 576-nucleotide long non-coding RNA is filed under the name Struthio camelus australis. RNAcentral's name for it is "lncRNA (ENSSCUG00000017227.1)". Lineage: Eukaryota; Metazoa; Chordata; Aves; Struthioniformes; Struthionidae. The record is from RNAcentral.
CUCUUAAAUAACUAAAAUGAGAAAUAUAAAUGAUAUUGUCAUGUGUUCUUGUCCUCACAGGUCACCCAUCCAUGUCCUUAAAGACUGAAUGAAUGAAAGGGGAGCCAGCCUGGACUCACACUUUUGUUUCAGUGCUAAGUUUAUUUAAGGAUUUUUCCUAAAUACGAGUAGCUUGGAUACUAGCUCUGAAAUGACUGCGUUGAUCAGGUUUGUGUUAGCAAGCCCUACUUCUGCUAUGAGGAUAUCAGUGGUCAACAGCAGCUGCGUGGAUUGAAUCACUAUCAGCUCUUGUGUUCAGCAGCUGCUCUGAGCAAACCUAGAUAACACAGAAGUUAGCUGUGCUUGUGCUCGACCGGUCUGCUCCCACAAGUAGAGGAACAUCAGGCUGCUGGCCCUCAGCGCAUCAGGAGCAGCAAGACACGCACCGUUUGCUGCUAGGAGCUAUAGAGAAGCAAAAAAAUCUCUGCAGCAACAAGGUCAGUGCCCCCAGUGCUUCCCUUUAUACCCCAGAGGCCAAACCUAAACAAAACCAGUUGCAUCUCAAUUCCCCUUGUGUAACUUUAAAUUCAAAACCUG